AGAGUUUGAUCCUGGCUCAGGAUGAACGCUGGCGGCGUGCUUAACACAUGCAAGUCGGACGGGCUCCUUCGGGAGCCAGUGGCGACCGGGUGAGUAACACGUAGACGACCGACCCUUGAGUGGGGGACAACUGCCCGAAAGGGUAGCUAAUACCGCAUACGCUGCCUGGGUCAGACCAGGCAGGAAAGUCGUGAGACGCUUGAGGGAGGGUCUGCGGCCCAUCAGGUCGUUGGCGGGGUAAUAGCCCACCAAGCCAUUGACGGGUCGGGGGUGUGAGAGCAUGACCCCCCACACUGGCACUGAGAACGGGCCAGACUCCUACGGGAGGCAGCAGUGAGGGAUAUUGGGCAAUGGGCGCAAGCCUGACCCAGCAACGCCGCGUGGAGGACGACGCGCUUCGGCGUGUAAACUCCUUUUAGCGGGGACGAGAGAGGACGGUACCCGCAGAAUCAGUCUCGGCUAACUACGUGCCAGCAGCCGCGGUAAAACGUAGGAGGCAAGCGUUAUCCGGAUUUACUGGGCGUAAAGGGCCCGCAGGUGGCUUGAUGCGUCAGGUUUGAAAGCGUCUGGCUUAACUGGACGAGUGGACCUGAAACGGUCGGGCUUGAGGUGGGGAGAGGGAUGCGGAAUUCCUGGUGUAGUGGUGGAAUGCGUAGAGAUCAGGAGGAACCCCGUGGCGAAAGCGGCAUCCUGGCCCGGACCUGACACCGAGGGGCGAAGGCGUGGGGAGCAAACAGGAUUAGAUACCCUAGUAGUCC
RNAcentral lists this ribosomal RNA (758 nucleotides) under uncultured bacterium. Its description in RNAcentral is "bacterial SSU rRNA". It matches the Rfam family "Bacterial small subunit ribosomal RNA", at positions 8 to 796 of the family's 1533-position model. The record is from RNAcentral.